Molecule: long non-coding RNA, 2623 nt
Organism: Pieris napi
Lineage: Eukaryota; Metazoa; Arthropoda; Insecta; Lepidoptera; Pieridae
Exons: 2
Source: RefSeq, a predicted model, not a curated record
GGUUUAUAUUUGUCCAUCAAAAAGUGCAUGCUUUUAAAUGCAAACCAUUUAGAAUUAUAAAUAGAUUCGGCACUGCUGCCUGACUUCGUACUCAUUGUUUUUCUCCCGGCGGUAAGAUGCAAGAAGCGAGUCCUUUUUUAUUUUAACUCUUCAACAUUACAUUCCAGUUGUUUUGCGAUUUCCCGCCAAGCAUCUUGUUUGUAAGUUGUAUUUUUAUAGUUUUCAUACGUCGGAUCCCACAGGCAUCUGAAAUUGCGGUAGGCUUCUAUCAUUAAUAAACAUUUUUCUUGAGACCACUCCAUAAUUUAAUCGAUAAGAUACGUAAACAAUCGCUAGAACACAAGAACGCUUUGAAAAGACCGCUCAGUGGCGCGAGCACGUCCGAACACGCUAGAACGCUCUAAGCAACUGUUCGCGCGCUCUUGCGCCGUUUUGCGUGUUUACAUCAAGCGAACGAGCAUUCUUAGAAUAUUCUAUAGAAUCUUUGCGAACGCACUAAGAACAACGAAAGAAUGCUCUACGCCUGUUUACACUAGAAGAAUUUGAUGUAGUGGGGAUAGAAUGAGCAUUCGCUCGUUUGAUGUAAAUCGACCUUUAAAUCAGUAUGAUCUUAUACGUCACUAAGCGAAGCGAGUUUUUGUUUUUGUGUCGGAAUUAUCGGAAAUUAAUGGAAUGUGUUAAUUCUAUAGUGAUAUUAAAUAGACUAGCAGUGUUUUUAAGAUGAAGAGACUGAGGGCGGCCCGGUUAAAUGCCAUUAUGGAUAAUAUAGGAGAAAUAAUUCAUGCAGAACCGGAAAAAUGUCCCCAAGGAUUGCCGAACAAACAUUACUCCGACGAUGACGAAUUUGAAAUUGCUGUUGACUUCUCGCCGGACGUGUCAGUGUAUAUACCAAGUCCAGAUCAACAUACAUAUACCGUCUUCCAUCGAAAAUGAAGAUUUCACAGACCUCGUUGGUUUGGACACAACUCUACAGCCUGAAAACAAUUCAGAUUCUAUAUUGACGUCACUACAACUACUUUAGAUGAUGGUGAUAAUACCAUAACAGCUAUCUGCCAAAGUCCCGAUAUAAACUCAAGGCCUGAAACUUCUGCCGCAAGUGUAGACGAAGUUUCAUCAUCAUUUUCUACUAAUAAGCAGAAAUUGUUGACAAGAAAACGGAUUCGGAGUGAACAAGAACAUCAAGAUGUAAAGAGUAAGAAAUUGAAGAACUCGGAAGAAAGCUAUAUGGGAUGCAGAUCUAAAAAAAUAUACGAAAAAAAAAGAUUACAAGAGGAUGUAAAUGCGCAAAAAAAUGUGAAGAAAAAUUUACAUUGAGCCAGAGAGAAGACAUUAUGCAGCAGUAUUAUAGAUUAGGAGAUCAUGAGCGGCAAUGGCAAUUUAUUGUUAGUUACACGACUGUUGUUGAGAACAGUUGAACAGUUGAACAGAGAACUUAACGUUGAGAAGGUCAAAAGAAUCAAGUUAGAUCGAAAGAAUAAUCGCACCCAAACCGUCAAAUACUAUUUUGAUUUACAGAAAGAGAAAGUUCAAGUAUGUAGGACCUUUUUUGCAAGCACUUUGUGUAUUUCAAAUCAGAUAAUUCAUACAGAAAAGUACGAUCAACAUCAGCGAAAUAAAGAAAGUGUUCGACAGAUAAAGAAGAAAAAUAAUCUUGCAAUCGAUUGCAAACUACAAUAGCUAUAUUUGAUUUGCAAAAAGUGUUGAAUAUACCUCAAUCUGCUGUUGGAGUAUUCCACUACAAGAGAAAGUAUCCUAUUUACAAUUUCACGAUAUUUGACGCCACUCAACGCAAAGGUUAUUGCUACGUUUGGCAUGCGCAGAUUGCAAAAAGAGGAACAAUAGAAAUAGGUAGUUGUUUAUGGCAAUUUCUUAAUACAGAAAAACAGAGAGGCAUUAAAAACUUGUCAUUUUAUUGUGAUGGUUGCGCAGGGCAGAAUAAAAACAGAUUCAUAUUCGCUCUGUACAUGUUUGCUGUGAAAUGGAAAUCAAUGUAACCAGUUCAGAACCAUCCAUCUUGCGGUUUAAAUAUGAUUUUGACGCUGAGUAUUCUAAGCUCAACAUUGAACGCCAACAGAGAUCCAAACGGAGUGCUAGACAUGCUUCCAAUACACCUAAUAUUAAUGACAGUCCUGAAUUAAAAAUUGUAUACACCGAGACUCUGCCAAUACGUAAAGCCCUACAUUCUGAUCUCAUAAGUCUUUGUAAAUCAAAUGACAUACCAAGCUACUAUCAUGGUUUCUAUGAAUCUCUUAAAAUUAAUGAUGAGGCAGAAGCACCAACCGAUAACUGUGCUGAUGAAGACUAUUUUUUAAAAUAUUGAGUAACUAAUAAGAAGACUUUUUUUAAAUUAUAAUAUACUUUUGGAUAGAAAUUAGGUACUUAGAUUUCGCUUAUAUUUUAUUUGGAAUAUUAGGUUUUGUGAUUUUGAAUGUUUACUCGAAGAUGCCACUUAAUUAUGAAGAUUUGAGUAUGGAGAUAGAUAGAUUAAUUAUAGACUGAUUUAUUUGAGAGUGACUUUAUGUUAUGUUUGUUUGCUUAUGUUUUGUUUUCUUGAAAAGUAUUAUUUUUGUCAUCAUCUUUGUUGGCUUUAAAUGUUGGUACCAAAAUAAAUAACAGUUGAUUA